UUCCAAUACAGUUUUACUGCUUUGCAGGACAAACUAGAAUUGAGAUGUAAAGAAAAUUGUAAGCGUGAUUGGUGUUUUGGAUAGCUCUCUCAGUUGGCAAUAUUGAAUCUUUAAUUCUUCAAAAAAUGGAUCAUAAAAUCGUGAAAAAUGAUAAUCCAUCAUGGCCAGAAUCUCACUAUGAGUCCUAUAAGCACUCUCAAAGAGCUUUACUGCGCCAGAGCCUCUCAUUGAGCACCCAAUACUACUUCAAGCUUGGGACAAACACCCCUAAACUGAGUGUCUCUGAAAGACCAUGGGGUGUGGACAGUGAGAAGAAAUGCAAGUGGAAAUGUCUCAGGAGUUCUAGAAAUGUACCCCAAAGAUCAGCUGACUGCAAGACAAAGAAGCAGAACUUUUCUCUUUGUUCUGCUAUAAUUGAGUGUCGGGCAAUGCUGAAGGGAAAGAAAGACCACAAAGUGAUUAGACAUCCUGUAGCCAAAAACCAUGAAUACGCAGUGGACGAUUCCUCUCUUCAGGGUCCUUCCAGGAAUAAGUUUAAAGGAGAUAUGACACAUCCCCAUGUCUUUGGGUUGACGAUCAUUGAGCCUCAGCACUGUGGUGGACACCAAAGCAACCCAGUGACAAUGGCCAUCCCCUUCAUGCAAGAUGAACCCACAAAGGCUAAGAAAUGUCCCUUGAUGGCACACUCUGGAUUAACCCUUUCUGUGGAAGAUUCCACUUUUGAAGAUCUACCCAAGAAGUUCAAAAGUGAUUACAUUGAUAAAGUGUCAAUGCUUGCCCCGCUCUGGCAACAGCAAACCAUAGAUGACAUGAAGAGGAGAGCUCAGAGGGAAUGCCAAGAGGCUCCAGUGUACUGGCUUACAGAGCAGACAGUCAAGUGCUCCAAAUUUACAAACAACUAGACAGAAUGUAACGCUUCUAGCUCCUCUUGCUUAUUGAAUAACUGUGAAUGGUCAAGAGUAAAGUCAAUGUCCAAAAAAAAAAAAAAAAAUUAACUGCCAGUGGUUCUGUGCUAUGUUGCAUUGGAAGGGGCCUUCAAAUAACAUGAAUAUUCUUUUAUACAGAUAUAAAUGUCAAC
Long non-coding RNA from Cyprinus carpio carpio, 1078 nucleotides. NCBI's taxonomy places the organism in Eukaryota, Metazoa, Chordata, Actinopteri, Cypriniformes, Cyprinidae. The record is from Ensembl.